CAGAUAACCGCUCCCGUUUCAAUGCACGGGGGAGGAACUUCCGGACUCCGCACGGCAAUGCGCCACCCGAAAGGGUGGGCGGAUAGGAUUUGCGCCUGUCCGACGGAAAGUGCCGCAGAAAACAAACCGCCCGCAAGGGUAAGGGUGAAAAGGUGCGGUAAGAGCGCACCGCGCGUUUGGUAACAAACGCGGCAAGGUAAACCCCGCAUGGAGCAAGGCCAAGCCGGUUCACACGCUGCCCGCGUUCGUAACCAAGUAGGCCGCUUAGAGUAAUGGUUAUCCGGCCCGCAAGGGCUGACAGAAUCUGGGGUACGGGCCAUCU
Molecule: RNase P RNA, 322 nt
Filed under: bovine gut metagenome
Description: Bacterial RNase P class A
Rfam family: Bacterial RNase P class A
About the family: Ribonuclease P (RNase P) is a ubiquitous endoribonuclease, found in archaea, bacteria and eukarya as well as chloroplasts and mitochondria. Its best characterised activity is the generation of mature 5'-ends of tRNAs by cleaving the 5'-leader elements of precursor-tRNAs.
Source: RNAcentral